Molecule: ribosomal RNA, 372 nt
Filed under: uncultured organism
Description: bacterial SSU rRNA
Rfam family: Bacterial small subunit ribosomal RNA
Source: RNAcentral
CGAGUGCCUCGAGCGUUAUCCGGAAUCAUUGGGCGUAAAGGGUGCGUAGGCGGCAUUGUUAGUCUCCCGUUAAAUCUUUCGGCUCAACCGAGAGUCUGCGGGGGAAACGGCAAUGCUUGAGGACGGGAGAGGUUUCUGGAACUCAUGGUGUAGCGGUGAAAUGCGUUGAUAUCAUGGGGAACACCAAAAGCGAAGGCAAGAAACUGGCCCGCUCCUGACGCUGAAGCACGAAAGCGUGGGUCGCGAAUGGGAUUAGAUACCCCAGUAGUCCACGCCCUAAACGAUGAUCUCUCGCUUUGAGGAGUAUCGACCCUCUUCGAGGCUAAGCAAACGCGUUAAGAGAUCCGCCUGGGUAGUACGGCCGCAAGGUUG